Molecule: ribosomal RNA, 474 nt
Filed under: uncultured Methanomicrobiales archaeon
Lineage: Archaea; Methanobacteriati; Methanobacteriota; Methanomicrobia; Methanomicrobiales
Description: bacterial SSU rRNA
Rfam family: Archaeal small subunit ribosomal RNA
Source: RNAcentral
UUAGACGGGGAGCACCACAACAGGUGGAGCCCGCGGUUUAAUCGGACUCAACGCCGGGAAACUCACCAGAUAAGACAGCUGAAUGAUAGUCGGGCUGAAGACUCUACUUGACUAGCUGAGAGGAGGUGCAUGGCCGUCGUCAGUUCGUACUGUGAAGCAUCCUGUUAAGUCAGGCAACGAGCGAGACCCACGCCAACAGUUGCCAGCUCGUCCUCCGGGAUGGUGGGGACACUGUUGGGACCGCCUCUGCUAAAGAGGAGGAAGGAAUGGGCAACGGUAGGUCAGCAUGCCCCGAAUUAUCUGGGCUACACGCGGGCUACAAUGGGUGGGACAAUGGGUAUCGACACCGAAAGGUGAAGGCAAUCUCCUAAACCCAUCCGUAGUUCGGAUUGUGGGCUGCAACUCGCCCACAUGAAGCUGGAAUCUGUAGUAAUCGUGUCUCAAAAUGGCACGGUGAAUAUGUCCCUGCUCCUU